This 467-nucleotide ribosomal RNA is filed under the name uncultured bacterium. RNAcentral's name for it is "partial 16S ribosomal RNA". It matches the Rfam family "Bacterial small subunit ribosomal RNA", at positions 28 to 507 of the family's 1533-position model. The record is from RNAcentral.
GACGAACGCUGGCGGCGUGCUUAACACAUGCAAGUCGAACGGAAAGGCCCUGCUUUUGUGGGGUGCUCGAGUGGCGAACGGGUGAGUAACACGUGAGUAACCUGCCCUUGACUUUGGGAUAACUUCAGGAAACUGGGGCUAAUACCGGAUAGGAGCUCCUGCUGCAUGGUGGGGGUUGGAAAGUUUCGGCGGUUGGGGAUGGACUCGCGGCUUAUCAGCUUGUUGGUGGGGUAGUGGCUUACCAAGGCUUUGACGGGUAGCCGGCCUGAGAGGGUGACCGGCCAGAUGGGACGGGAGUAAGGACCCGCACACCUUCGGGGGGGAGGAGGGGGGAAGUUUGAAAAAGGGGGGGGCGCAAGAUGGAGAAACCCCGGGGGCGGGAGGGAGGAAUGCGGGUUGGAAACCAUUUUCGCUUGUGAGGAAGGGUAAUGAAGGUAAAGGGAGAAAAAGCCCCGGGUUACUUCGUG